Molecule: ribosomal RNA, 591 nt
Filed under: uncultured Burkholderia sp.
Lineage: Bacteria; Pseudomonadati; Pseudomonadota; Betaproteobacteria; Burkholderiales; Burkholderiaceae
Description: bacterial SSU rRNA
Rfam family: Bacterial small subunit ribosomal RNA
Source: RNAcentral
UCGGGUUGUAAAGCACUUUUGUCCGGAAAGAAAACUUCGGGGCUAAUACCUCUGGAGGAUGACGGUACCGGAAGAAUAAGCACCGGCUAACUACGUGCCAGCAGCGCGGUAAUCGUAGGGUGCGAGCGUUAAUCGGAAUUACUGGGCGUAAAGCGUGCGCAGGCGGUCUGUUAAGACAGAUGUGAAAUCCCCGGGCUUAACCUAGGAACUGCAUUUGUGACUGGCAGGCUAGAGUAUGGCAGAGGGGGGUAGAAUUCCACGUGUAGCAGUGAAAUGCGUAGAGAUGUGGAGGAAUACCGAUGGCGAAGGCAGCCCCCUGGGCCAAUACUGACGCUCAUGCACGAAAGCGUGGGGAGCAAACAGGAUUAGAUACCCUGGUAGUCCACGCCCUAAACGAUGUCAACUAGUUGUUGGGGAUUCAUUUCCUUAGUAACGUAGCUAACGCGUGAAGUUGACCGCCUGGGGAGUACGGUCGCAAGAUUAAAACUCAAAGGAAUUGACGGGGACCCGCACAAGCGGUGGAUGAUGGUGGAUUAAUUCGAUGCAACGCGAAAAACCUUACCUACCCUUGACAUGGUCGGAACCCUGGUG